This 444-nucleotide ribosomal RNA is filed under the name uncultured bacterium. Its description in RNAcentral is "bacterial SSU rRNA". It matches the Rfam family "Bacterial small subunit ribosomal RNA", at positions 958 to 1400 of the family's 1533-position model. The record is from RNAcentral.
AACGCGAAGAACCUUACCAGCGUUUGACAUGGGACGUAUGGUCGCCAGAGAUGGCUUCCUUCACUUCGGGUGGCGUCCACACAGGUGCUGCAUGGCUGUCGUCAGCUCGUGUCGUGAGAUGUUGGGUUAAGUCCCGCAACGAGCGCAACCCUCACCUUCAGUUGCCAUCAUUUAGUUGGGCACUCUGAAGGAACUGCCGGUGACAAGCCGGAGGAAGGUGGGGAUGACGUCAAGUCCUCAUGGCCCUUACGCGCUGGGCUACACACGUGCUACAAUGGUGGUGACAAUGGGUCGCAAGCGUGCGAACGCAAGCUAAUCUCCAAAAAGCCAUCUCAGUUCGGAUUGCACUCUGCAACUCGAGUGCAUGAAGUCGGAAUCGCUAGUAAUCGUGGAUCAGCAUGCCACGGUGAAUACGUUCCCGGGCCUUGUACACACCGUAGAGAC